This 312-nucleotide ribosomal RNA is filed under the name Ammoxenus amphalodes. RNAcentral describes it as "partial 12S ribosomal RNA". Lineage: Eukaryota; Metazoa; Arthropoda; Arachnida; Araneae; Ammoxenidae. The record is from RNAcentral.
AGGUAGUAAUUCUCAAUAAAACCUAUAUACUACGGCGGCAUAUUAAUUCUUAGAGGAACUUGUCCUUUAAUCGAUAAUCCACGAUAAUUUUCACUUAAAUAUAAAAUUUAUAUAUCGCCAUCUAAAGACUUAAUACAAAUAACUUUUUCAAAAUAAAAAAUAAAAAGUUAGGUCAAGGUGUAAUCAAUUUUUAAGAUUGUGAUGAGUUACUUUAAAUAAAAUUUAAGGACAAAGUUAUAAAAACAACUUUUAAAAUAGGAUUUAUUAGUAAUAUACAAACAAUAAUUUUAUUUGAAAUAAACUAAAAUGUGC